AUCAGCUUGUUGGUGGGGUAGUGGCUCACCAAGGCUUUGACGGGUAGCCGGCCUGAGAGGGUGACCGGCCACAUUGGGACUGAGAUACGGCCCAGACUCCUACGGGAGGCAGCAGUGGGGAAUAUUGCACAAUGGGCGGAAGCCUGAUGCAGCAACGCCGCGUGCGGGAUGACGGCCUUCGGGUUGUAAACCGCUUUCGCCUGUGACGAAGCGUGAGUGACGGUAAUGGGUAAAGAAGCACCGGCUAACUACGUGCCAGCAGCCGCGGUGAUACGUAGGGUGCGAGCGUUGUCCGGAUUUAUUGGGCGUAAAGGGCUCGUAGGUGGUUGAUCGCGUCGGAAGUGAAAUCUUGGGGCUUAACCCUGAGCGUGCUUUCGAUACGGGUUGACUUGAGGAAGGUAGGGGAGAAUGGAAUUCCUGGUGGAGCGGUGGAAUGCGCAGAUAUCAGGAGGAACACCAGUGGCGAAGGCGGUUCUCUGGACCUUUCCUGACGCUGAGGAGCGAAAGCGUGGGGAGCGAACAGGCUUAGAUACCCUGGUAGUCCACGCUGUAAACGGUGGGUACUAGGUGUGGGGUCCAUUCCACGGAUUCCGUGCCGUAGCUAACGCUUUAAGUACCCCGCCUGGGGAGUACGGCCGCAAGGCUAAAACUCAAAGGAAUUGACGG
RNAcentral lists this ribosomal RNA (666 nucleotides) under uncultured bacterium. RNAcentral's name for it is "bacterial SSU rRNA". It matches the Rfam family "Bacterial small subunit ribosomal RNA", at positions 240 to 916 of the family's 1533-position model. The record is from RNAcentral.